AACGCACAUUGCGCCCCCGGGUAUUCCCGGGGGCAUGCCUGUUCGAGCGUCAUUUCAACCCUCAAGCUCAGCUUGGUCUUGGGCCCCGCCGGCAACGGCCGGCCUUAAAACUAGUGGCGGCGCCGCCGGGCUCUACGCGUAGUAAUUACAUCUCGCGUCUGGGUCCCGGAGGACGCUGGCCAGCAACCCCCAACAUAUACUGGUUGACCUCGGAUCAGGUAGGGAUACCCGCUGAACUUAA
This 241-nucleotide unclassified non-coding RNA is filed under the name uncultured Ascomycota. RNAcentral describes it as "sequence contains ITS2". The stretch from base 1 to 52 matches the Rfam family "5.8S ribosomal RNA", at positions 103 to 154 of the family's 154-position model. Lineage: Eukaryota; Fungi; Ascomycota. The record is from RNAcentral.